RNAcentral lists this long non-coding RNA (1960 nucleotides) under Helianthus annuus (common sunflower). Lineage: Eukaryota; Viridiplantae; Streptophyta; Magnoliopsida; Asterales; Asteraceae. The record is from RNAcentral.
GAAAGAAGCAUUUCUUUUUCUCAAUUUGAUUUAACUCGGGAACACAGUGGCAUCCGCAGCUCCAAACCCACUUCCAGAUUCCUCCUUUUUCUCCUCCACCGGCGCCGGAGCCUCCACCUUCUUCUCCUCCACCGGCGGCGCCACCUCUUCAGCUUUCUUCUCCUCGGUCACCGUCGGUGGUGCAACGGCAGUGGUACCGGACUUCUCAUACUGGUGAAGAUAAUCAUCUGCUUGUUUCAAAUACGACCCUACCCUUGAUUCUCAUCAAACUUACCGUACUGCUUGUUUCAAAGAAGCUUUUACAAGUUUUGGCUUUGAUACUGCCUUUAAGAUUAUGAGUGGAUUUGUCAUUUAUAAUGCUCCAUCCUAUGAAUCCCCCCGAUACUCAUCCCCAGAAACCCCUUAUCUGCUUUUGUUUCAUUGGAGAGAGAACGAGAAAAGUGAGAGAGUGAGAAGGAGAGAGACUGAGAAGGAGAGCAGGAUAGAGAAGGGGGUAGGAGAUUUAAUGGUGUCACUGAUUUCUCCAUCAAAUCCGGUUUUUAGGGUUUUGCCAGACCUAAAUUAUGCUCCCACAUCCCAGGCAGCGCCGACGUCAAGAAAUAGUCCGAUGAUAUUGAUGAUGGAUUGUUUUGAAGGCUAAACAGCUCAAAAAGGCUGUUUAAUUUGUUUUUUUUUUUUGUCACCUGAAACCCUAAUUCAUUCAUUGGAGGAAACGGUAGGUGUUGUGUCUGAAGGUGGUAGGGGCCUGAGCAUUUGGGAUGUUUUCCGCCUCACAAAUCCAGGUUGAACUGCCCAAGAUAUUCAAAUUAUGUGGCUCUCCCUCAGAUGUGUCUUUUCUCAAAUCUUGGUAUCACCAGUCAGAUGGUUAAAGCUACCCAAGAAUCCAUUCAAAAUACUAAAGCGUUUGAUAUAAGACCAUUUUGGGCAGGAGCAUCAGCAAAUGCAGUGACCGUGGAGUGUCGAUGAUGAUUUGGGUUACGGAUUGGGUGUUUAGCGGUGGUAUUAUGACAACGACCGAACAUUAGUUUUUCGGGUAAUGACUCCAAGAGAUCAAGUUCUGCAUAACUAGAUGCGAGCAUAGAUAAGAAUAUGAGGAUCGAGGUUACCCAAAAAAAAAAGAAUAUGAGGAUCGAGGCUGAUGAGGAUAUUAAAGACACGGCGUCAGAGAUCACAAAAAUAAGGAGGGAUGGUUCACUGCGGAAAAAAAGGAAUCCCGGUGUUCUGUUUGUAUCCACCUGGAAGCGUAAAAGCCGCUGGAAAUACAAUGGUGGCUAUGAGGGUUGCAACUAGCAUAUAGUUUUUCAUCCAACUCUCACCUUUGGUUACUAAAGCUGUAUGUUUCUGGGAGAACAAGUCUUGUGGUGUUUCACCGGCUCCAUUCUUCCUUCUUCUAUAUUGAGGUGGGAUCAUUUGUUCUACCUCCUGUAACAUAUAUUCAGUCAUUUUGAUGGUUCAAAAACAAUUUCCUCUAUCAGUCAAAGUGGUUUGGGUCAAAACAGAGCAAUUGACCUAAUAAUCAUAAACAAAUAAUGCACUAAAUGUGAUUAUGGAAAACAUAUAGUUAACUUAAUUUUUAAAAUAAAAUAAUUUUGAAGGUUGUAUGCAUUCACUUUGGCCUGCUUUAGACCACAUUGCAAGCAUUUUACCCGUUUCCUUUUUAUCUUAAACAUUUCUGAAUUCCAUUAUUUUUUUUACAUCCAAGUUGGUCUUAUGUACAUGAGAAAAAAGGUAAGAUGAUACUUAAGUUUGAGAAAAGGUACCUUGAACCAUAAUAAUUCUUGUUGCAUUUGUAAAGCAAUUCCAGCCACAUUUUGAAAUUGAUUUCCUUUAGCCUUCUUUGCAACCAUAUGCAACAUGCUAUUGCCUUUUUUUGUCUUUAACAAGAGUUGCUAAAUAUCUCAUUGCACCAAUCUCAUGUAACAAAUUAUAGAUCUUUGCAUGACGGUGCUUGAUCGCUAAG